CAGCAGCCACGGGAAUACGGAGGGGGCUAGCGUUGUUCGGAAUUACUGGGCGUAAGCGCACGUAGGCGGCUUUGUAAGUCAGAGGUGAAAGCCCGGGGCUCAACCCCGGAAUUGCCUUUGAGACUGCAUCGUUUGAAUCCAGGAGAGGUGAGUGGAAUUCCGAGUGUAGAGGUGAAAUUCGUAGAUAUUCGGAAGAACACCAGUGGCGAAGGCGGCUCACUGGACUGGUAUUGACGCUGAGGUGCGAAAGCGUGGGGAGCAAACAGGAUUAGAUACCCGAGUAGUCCCUGUCUCUUAUACC
This 301-nucleotide ribosomal RNA is filed under the name uncultured bacterium. RNAcentral's name for it is "partial 16S ribosomal RNA". It matches the Rfam family "Bacterial small subunit ribosomal RNA", at positions 509 to 808 of the family's 1533-position model. The record is from RNAcentral.